GGAGAGGUGUCCGAGUGGCCGAAGGAGCACGCCUGGAAAGUGUGUAUAGGGUAACCUAUCGAGGGUUCGAAUCCCUCCCUCUCCGCCA
This 88-nucleotide transfer RNA is filed under the name Gammaproteobacteria bacterium. Its description in RNAcentral is "tRNA-Ser". It matches the Rfam family "tRNA". Rfam says of the family: Transfer RNA (tRNA) molecules are approximately 80 nucleotides in length. Their secondary structure includes four short double-helical elements and three loops (D, anti-codon, and T loops). Further hydrogen bonds mediate the characteristic L-shaped molecular structure. tRNAs have two regions of fundamental functional importance: the anti-codon, which is responsible for specific mRNA codon recognition, and the 3' end, to which the tRNAs corresponding amino acid is attached (by aminoacyl-tRNA synthetases). tRNAs cope with the degeneracy of the genetic code in two manners: having more than one tRNA (with a specific anti-codon) for a particular amino acid; and 'wobble' base-pairing, i.e. permitting non-standard base-pairing at the 3rd anti-codon position. RNAcentral also lists the same sequence under 1 other name. Lineage: Bacteria; Pseudomonadati; Pseudomonadota; Gammaproteobacteria. The record is from RNAcentral.